This 321-nucleotide ribosomal RNA is filed under the name Triticum aestivum (bread wheat). RNAcentral's name for it is "partial small subunit ribosomal RNA". The record is from RNAcentral. Lineage: Eukaryota; Viridiplantae; Streptophyta; Magnoliopsida; Poales; Poaceae.
AUGGAGACAAUGGAGAUGGUGUUCAGCGGUGCGCUCAGCCAGAGUUCGCCGUACGUCCGACAUUUGCUGAUUCGGCAGGGCCCUCAUGGAAACAAAUCCAUGAAAGACGCAUUGGAGCACCAGGACCAUGCCUUGUUAGAGGAGGUUUCUGGUUGGAUAAAUGAGAAGGCCAUGAUGCCUAUUUGGGCUAAGAUGACUCCUAACAUUGCAGUUCUUCCACAUCACAUUGUUGCACUGUUAGGGGCUAUAAAGGGUAUCAUUGUCACCCAUUUUCUAGGAGGAACUGGGUUCGGGCCUUUUGCUCUAAAAAGAAGCGAGUGA